Molecule: ribosomal RNA, 253 nt
Filed under: uncultured bacterium
Lineage: Bacteria
Description: partial 16S ribosomal RNA
Rfam family: Bacterial small subunit ribosomal RNA
Source: RNAcentral
UACAGAGGGUGCGAGCGUUGUCCGGAAUCACUGGGCGUAAAGGGCGCGUAGGCGGUUCGUACAGUCAGACGUGAAAUUCCUGGGCUCAACCUGGGGGCUGCGUUUGAUACGUGCGGGCUUGAGUUCGGAAGAGGGUCGUGGAAUUCCCAGUGUAGAGGUGAAAUUCGUAGAUAUUGGGAAGAACACCGGUGGCGAAGGCGGCGACCUGGUCCGAUACUGACGCUGAGGCGCGAAAGCGUGGGGAGCAAACAGG